CGGGGCAGAGGCGGGGAGGCAGGUGGUCCAGGUGCGCCCCUGCCCGGGGGGGCGAGGCGUCCGGCGGGAAGGCUGCAGCGACCGCAUGGAGGAAGGGGCGGCAGGUGCGCGGCGCUGGAAGAACCGGCGGCUGGGAGAGCAUCUCUGCCUCGCCCAUCUUGCCCCCUCCCCACCUCCGCUCUGGCGUUGGGACGGGAGGAGGAGGGAGGAAUGGAACCAGGGAGUCCGAAGUACAGCUUUGACAACUGUCGCGCUGGCCGGGAUCAGCAGAUCUGUUUUCACUACCUCAAGAUAUGGCACGCACACUUGGGAAACCCAGAAUAAUGGGAACUCAAAACUGUUAUUCAUUCGAGAGCUCAUCAGUCCAAGAAGAUGCCACCUUGGUCAGAUGUGGAUGAGGCAUGACUGGACCGACCCUGUGGGCUCGGCACCCACCUGUGCUAUAAACUGUUCAUGUGAAAACUGUGUGCCCCUGGGUUGUCUGACCUGCAGCUGUACCGCACUUUUAGUACAAUGCCUGCCACCCACAGGAGUGUUGUCACAAUUGAAGUGAAUGCUAUAAAGCAUUGUGAGCAACUCAAAAGAAGGGUGCUGCUUAACUACCCAAAAUUACUAUACACCCACAGGUAAAGCUCUCUCUCUCUCUUUCUCUCUCU
This 656-nucleotide long non-coding RNA is filed under the name Homo sapiens (human). Its description in RNAcentral is "non-protein coding lnc-NEMP2-38:4". Lineage: Eukaryota; Metazoa; Chordata; Mammalia; Primates; Hominidae. The record is from RNAcentral.